Long non-coding RNA from Tupaia belangeri chinensis (Chinese tree shrew), 256 nucleotides. RefSeq lists it as uncharacterized. The transcript is spliced from 3 exons. NCBI's taxonomy places the organism in Eukaryota, Metazoa, Chordata, Mammalia, Scandentia, Tupaiidae. The record is from RefSeq and is a predicted model, not a curated record.
CUUGAACUGCAGUCGACUAUGUGGGAGUCCAGCGAGGUCAUAGAACUAUGAGAAGCUACAUCCGAGUCUGAUGGAGAGGGUGGGUGUCCUCCACAUAUUCUUGUCUUUGGAAGAGCCAACGAGACAUGAUAGUUGGAGCUGCAGUCAUCUCCCUUGGACCAUGAAACAACCUGGAGGACAGAUGGCCAGAGUUAAGAUGGUGAAGCAGAAAGACAGAGACAGGAUUACAAAGAAUGAGAAGCCACGGUAUCAGCCC